GAUGAAGAACGCAGCGAAAUGCGAUAAGUAAUGUGAAUUGCAGAAUUCAGUGAAUCAUCGAAUCUUUGAACGCACAUUGCGCCCGCCAGUAUUCUGGCGGGCAUGCCUGUUCGAGCGUCAUUUCAACCAUCAAGCCCCAGGCUUGUGUUGGAGCCCUGCGGCUGCCGCAGCCUCCCAAAACCAGUGGCGGGCUCGCUAUCACACCGAGUGCAGUAGUUUACUCUUCGCUCAGGGCGUGUGGCGGGUGCUAGCCGUAAAACCACCAAUCUAUCAAGGUUGACCUCGGAUCAGGUAGGAAUACCCGCUGAACUUAAGCAUAUCAAUAAGCGGAGGA
This 334-nucleotide unclassified non-coding RNA is filed under the name soil metagenome. RNAcentral's name for it is "partial contains 5.8S ribosomal RNA, internal transcribed spacer 2, and large subunit ribosomal RNA". The stretch from base 1 to 120 matches the Rfam family "5.8S ribosomal RNA", at positions 35 to 154 of the family's 154-position model. The record is from RNAcentral.